This is a long non-coding RNA of Papaver somniferum (opium poppy), 1088 nucleotides long. RefSeq lists it as uncharacterized. The record is from RefSeq and is a predicted model, not a curated record. NCBI's taxonomy places the organism in Eukaryota, Viridiplantae, Streptophyta, Magnoliopsida, Ranunculales, Papaveraceae. The transcript is spliced from 2 exons.
GACGAGACGAGCGGAGAUUUCCUUCAACAUCAGAAACCUGUGUACUACAGAUUAAUUUCACCUUCGAUCUUUCUUUUUGAGGUUUAGUUCGAUUUUAAUUUCUCUCUUACGCUUUUUAGGUUUUCGAUUUCUGCUUUGAGCAGAGACACGAACAGAGAUAAAGAGAGGCUGAGUUUUGAGCGGAGAAUUGAGAGACCGAAUCAGUCUCAAACUGAAAUGGAAUUUUCAUUACUUUCUCUCAUGAGGUUCAUCCAUGGCCUUGAUUGGUAGUACUAGAGAAGAAUCAAUUGGCAGCAGCGAAGCUAGGUUCUAAAACAGAUGUGAGUUCAGUGCUCGUGCCCUGUGGAGUUCAUCUGAUUCAAGCAUGGGUAAAUGGAAUUUUUCAAUUGAGAAAUAGAUACAACAAUACAUCAAUGAAAUUGGAGGUUAAAUCAAGAAGCUGGUGGUGUUGAAUUUGUGCCUUAUGACAUACAUUGAAUCUGGGGUUUGGCAUGGAUCUCGUUCUCUCAAAUUGGUAGUGGAGGUACAGUGGCUCGAGAUUUCAGUCUUGAGUGCUUUGAGAUGGUGAUGGCAAUUACUUGGUGGAACUGGAAUUUAAUGAAGGCGGUGGUGCUCAUGUUUGUUUUAAAGCUUUUCAGUUGAGUCAUAAUUGUGCUGUGAAGAUAGAUGUUUAAACAAGGGUGGUUUCAUUUUCAUCCUAAGAUUUCCAAGGAUAUUGUGUUAGGUGGUGGUGGGAAAGAAUCAUCAGAAACACUACCCUUCUCCACCAAAAUCUAUACAGACACAUGGCCGGAGUUUCAGUGAUUUUUGUGCGAGUCUUCGGAAAAAUAAUAGUGUUGAUGAUGUACAGGUUACUGGAGGAAAGAAACCAACUCCCAGUGGGUAUUAUACCAUACCCAGAAGUAUCAUUACCUUCUUGGUUGGGAGAUCAUUUUAAAUCGGAAAUUGUCUGGCCGUUUCUUUUUUCUUUUCUUUUUCUUUUGUUGUCUAGUUUGCUUGCCAAUUAUAAUGAAAAAUGAUUGCAAUAACUUGUCAUGCACCUACAAAAUGUGUGCAUAACUUGUUAUGCAGUCGAGAAAUUGGAUGCA